GAUGAACGCUGGCUACAGGCUUAACACAUGCAAGUCGAGGGGAAACGACGGGGAAGCUUGCUUCCCCGGGCGUCGACCGGCGCACGGGUGAGUAACGCGUAUCCAACCUGCCUCUGACUGAGGGAUAACCCGUCGAAAGUCGGCCUAAUACCUCAUGGUAUCGUCUGCGGGCAUCCAACGACGAUUAAAGAUUUCAUCGGUCAGGGAUGGGGAUGCGUCUGAUUAGCUUGUUGGCGGGGUAACGGCCCACCAAGGCUACGAUCAGUAGGGGUUCCGAGAGGAAGGUCCCCCACAUUGGAACUGAGACACGGUCCAAACUCCUACGGGAGGCAGCAGUGAGGAAUAUUGGUCAAUGGGCGAGAGCCUGAACCAGCCAAGUAGCGUGCAGGAAGACGGCCCUAUGGGUUGUAAACUGCUUUUAUGCGGGGAUAAAGUGAGGGACGUGUCCCUCAUUGCAGGUACCGCAUGAAUAAGGACCGGCUAAUUCCGUG
Molecule: ribosomal RNA, 491 nt
Filed under: uncultured bacterium
Lineage: Bacteria
Description: partial 16S ribosomal RNA
Rfam family: Bacterial small subunit ribosomal RNA
Source: RNAcentral